AUUCUCACUGAUCGGAAUACUCA
Molecule: small nuclear RNA, 23 nt
Filed under: Arabidopsis thaliana (thale cress)
Lineage: Eukaryota; Viridiplantae; Streptophyta; Magnoliopsida; Brassicales; Brassicaceae
Description: snRNA_17945
Source: RNAcentral